ACCAGACUCCUACGGGAGGCAGCAGUGGGGAAUAUUGCACAAUGGGGGGAACCCUGAUGCAGCGACGCCGCGUGGGUGAAGAAGCGCCUCGGCGCGUAAAGCCCUGUCAGCAGGGAAGAAAAUGACGGUACCUGAAGAAGAAGCCCCGGCUAACUACGUGCCAGCAGCCGCGGUAAUACGUAGGGGGCAAGCGUUAUCCGGAUUUACUGGGUGUAAAGGGGGCGCAGACGGCGAUGCAAGCCAGGAGUGAAAGCCCGGGGCCCAACCCCGGGACUGCUCUUGGAACUGCGUGGCUGGAGUGCAGGAGGGGCAGGCGGAAUUCCUGGUGUAGCGGUGAAAUGCGUAGAUAUCAGGAGGAACACCGGUGGCGAAGGCGGCCUGCUGGACUGCAACUGACGUUGAGGCCCGAAAGCGUGGGGAGCAAACAGGAUUAGAUACCCGUGUACGU
This 448-nucleotide ribosomal RNA is filed under the name uncultured bacterium. Its description in RNAcentral is "bacterial SSU rRNA". It matches the Rfam family "Bacterial small subunit ribosomal RNA", at positions 330 to 794 of the family's 1533-position model. The record is from RNAcentral.